This 253-nucleotide ribosomal RNA is filed under the name uncultured bacterium. Its description in RNAcentral is "partial 16S ribosomal RNA". It matches the Rfam family "Bacterial small subunit ribosomal RNA", at positions 524 to 776 of the family's 1533-position model. The record is from RNAcentral.
GACGAGGGAUCCUAGCGUUGUUCGGAGUCAUUGGGCGUAGAGCGGGUGUAGGCGGACUUAUAAGUCAGGUGUGAAAUCCCAGGGCUCAACCCUGGAAGUGCACUUGAUACUGCAAGUCUUGAGUGUGGUAGAGGCUAUUAGAAUUCCUGGUGUAGUGGUGAAAUACGUAGAUAUCAGGAGGAAUACCGGAGGCGAAGGCGGAUAGCUGGGCCAACACUGACGCUGAGACCCGGAAGCGUGGGGAUCAAACAGG